GUUAUAUGGUCAAGUGAAGAAGCGCAUACGGUGGAUGCCUUGGCAGUCAGAGGCGAUGAAAGACGUGGUAGCCUGCGAAAAGCUUCGGGGAGUCGGCAAACAGACUUUGAUCCGGAGAUGUCUGAAUGGGGGAACCCAGCCAUCAUAAGAUGGUUAUCUUACGCUGAAUACAUAGGCGUAAGAGGCGAACCAGGGGAACUGAAACAUCUAAGUACCCUGAGGAAAAGAAAUCAACCGAGAUUCCCUUAGUAGUGGCGAGCGAACGGGGACUAGCCCUUAAGUGGCUUUGAGAUUAGCGGAACGCUCUGGAAAGUGCGGCCAUAGUGGGUGAUAGCCCUGUACGCGAAAAUCUCUUAGUCAUGAAAUCGAGUAGGACGGAGCACGAGAAACUUUGUCUGAAUAUGGGGGGACCAUCCUCCAAGGCUAAAUACUACUGACUGACCGAUAGUGAACUAGUACCGUGAGGGAAAGGCGAAAAGAACCCCGGAGAGGGGAGUGAAAUAGAUCCUGAAACCGUAUGCGUACAAGCAGUGGGAGCAGACUUUGUUCUGUGACUGCGUACCUUUUGUAUAAUGGGUCAGCGACUUAUUUUCAGUGGCGAGCUUAACCGAAUAGGGGAGGCGUAGCGAAAGCGAGUCUUAAUAGGGCGUCUAGUCGCUGGGAAUAGACCCGAAACCGGGCGAUCUAUCCAUGGGCAGGUUGAAGGUUGGGUAACACUAACUGGAGGACCGAACCGACUACCGUUGAAAAGUUAGCGGAUGACCUGUGGAUCGGAGUGAAAGGCUAAUCAAGCUCGGAGAUAGCUGGUUCUCCUCGAAAGCUAUUUAGGUAGCGCCUCAUGUAUCACUGUAGGGGGUAGAGCACUGUUUCGGCUAGGGGGUCAUCCCGACUUACCAAACCGAUGCAAACUCCGAAUACCUACAAGUGCCGAGCAUGGGAGACACACGGCGGGUGCUAACGUCCGUCGUGAAAAGGGAAACAACCCAGACCGUCAGCUAAGGUCCCAAAGUUAUGGUUAAGUGGGAAACGAUGUGGGAAGGCUUAGACAGCUAGGAGGUUGGCUUAGAAGCAGCCACCCUUUAAAGAAAGCGUAAUAGCUCACUAGUCGAGUCGGCCUGCGCGGAAGAUGUAACGGGGCUCAAACCAUACACCGAAGCUACGGGUAUCACGUAAGUGAUGCGGUAGAGGAGCGUUCUGUAAGCCUGUGAAGGUGAGUUGAGAAGCUUGCUGGAGGUAUCAGAAGUGCGAAUGCUGACAUGAGUAACGACAAUGGGUGUGAAAAACACCCACGCCGAAAGACCAAGGUUUCCUGCGCAACGUUAAUCGACGCAGGGUUAGUCGGUCCCUAAGGCGAGGCUGAAAAGCGUAGUCGAUGGAAAACAGGUUAAUAUUCCUGUACUUCUGGUUAUUGCGAUGGAGGGACGGAGAAGGCUAGGCCAGCUUGGCGUUGGUUGUCCAAGUUUAAGGUGGUAGGCUGGAAUCUUAGGUAAAUCCGGGAUUCUAAGGCCGAGAGCUGAUGACGAGUUAACUUUUAGUUAACGAAGUGGUUGAUGCCAUGCUUCCAAGAAAAGCUUCUAAGCUUCAGGUAACCAGGAACCGUACCCCAAACCGACACAGGUGGUUGGGUAGAGAAUACCAAGGCGCUUGAGAGAACUCGGGUGAAGGAACUAGGCAAAAUGGCACCGUAACUUCGGGAGAAGGUGCGCCGGUGAGGGUGAAGGACUUGCUCCGUAAGCUCAUGCCGGUCGAAGAUACCAGGCCGCUGCGACUGUUUAUUAAAAACACAGCACUCUGCAAACACGAAAG
RNAcentral lists this ribosomal RNA (1806 nucleotides) under Escherichia coli. Its description in RNAcentral is "partial 23S ribosomal RNA". It matches the Rfam family "Bacterial large subunit ribosomal RNA", at positions 1 to 1837 of the family's 2925-position model. Lineage: Bacteria; Pseudomonadati; Pseudomonadota; Gammaproteobacteria; Enterobacterales; Enterobacteriaceae. The record is from RNAcentral.